RNAcentral lists this ribosomal RNA (3354 nucleotides) under Triticum aestivum (bread wheat). Its description in RNAcentral is "partial small subunit ribosomal RNA". The record is from RNAcentral. Lineage: Eukaryota; Viridiplantae; Streptophyta; Magnoliopsida; Poales; Poaceae.
AUGCUGUUCGCCGAGGUAGUCGAGCUCGCGCACCCGAUCCAGACGGAGUCGCCGGUCGAUGUUCGUCGCGAUCCACCCCAGGUCGUUGUCUUCCUCAAUGAGGAGCAGUCCAGCGUCGCCCCAGCCGCAGGGGACGCCGCCCCGGACCCGGUGUGGUACCUGGACUCUGGCGCGUCCAACCACAUGACCGGCGACCGCACGGCGUUCGCCGAGCUCGACAACGCGAUCACCGGAUCUGUACGUUUCGGGGACGGCUCGGUGGUCCAGAUCGAAGGGCGCGGCACCGUCGCAUUCGGCACCAAGAGGGGAGCGCAACGCGCCCUGACGGACGUGUACUACAUCCCCAGGCUCAAGAGCAGCGUGGUGAGCCUUGGACAACUCGACGAGAACGGCUGCGACAUCAACGUCCACCACGGCAUCCUCUCCGUCCACGACCGACGCGGAAACCUAAUUAUCAAGGUAAAGCGAUCUUCAAAUCGCCUGUACAAACUGCAUAUUCACCCCGUGCGCCCGGUCUGUCUCGGUGCGCGCACGGACAACGUGUCAUGGCGCUGGCACGCCCGUUUCGGUCACCUGCACAUCGACGCUCUGCAGAGGAUGGCGCGGGGAGGAAUGGUGCGAGGGCUGCCAGGCAUUGAGCACUCCGGAGAGCUCUGCCAGGCGUGCCUUGCCGGCAAGCAACGCCGGGCGCCGUUCCCCCAGACGGCCAAGUACAGAGCGGAGGCGCCGCUCGACCUCAUCCACGCGGACCUCUGCGGAGCGAUCACACCAGCGACACCAGGAGGACGGCGCUACUUCCUUCUCCUCGUGGACGACCACAGCCGCUACAUGUGGCUCAACCUGCUGACGAGCAAGGACGAAGCCGCGACAACAAUCAAGGAAUUCCAGGCGCGUGUGGAGAUAGAGGCACGGCGUAGGCUGGGCACACUGCGGACGGACCGCGGAGGAGAGUUCACGUCCACGGCGCUGGCGAAGCACUUCGCGUCCACCGGAGUCCAGCGCCACCUGACCGCGCCUUACUCCCCGCAGCAGAACGGGGUGGUCGAAAGGCGCAACCAGACGGUGGUGGGCAUGGCAAGGAGCAUGAUGAAGGCCAAGGGCAUGUCGGACUACUUCUGGGGAGAGGCGGUAACCACGGCCGUCUAUCUCCUGAACCGGGCGUUCACGCGCAGCGUGGACGGGGCGACGCCGUACGAGGCCUGGCAUGGCAGGAAGCCAGAGGUGAGCCACCUGCGAGUCUUCGGGUGCGUGGCGCAUGUCAAGAGCGCGCGCCCCCUCCUCAAGAAGCUGGACGAUCGGAGUACUCCCAUGGUGCACAUCGGGUAUGAGCCUGGUUCCAAGGCAUACAGGGUGUACGACCCGGCGACGCGCAGGGUGCACGUGUCCCGCGACGUUGUGUUUGACGAGAGCGCGAGCUGGGACUGGAGCAACGAGACGGCGGGCGCAGGCGGCUCCUUCGUCGUCGACUUCUCGGCAUACGGUGGACCUCUUAAAGAUGUGCUCACCCCGGCAAGAAUCUCUGCUCCGCCGUCACCCGAACCUGCCACCGGGGCGGCUGGAGAGAACACGCCUACAUCGCCACACUCCGGUCCCGAUGCCGGGGCACCGCUUUCGCCAGCAGCAGGUGGCGCGUCAGCUGCCACCCCUGUCUGGCAUGAUGUGCAGUUCGCAACCCCGCCACCUCAUGACGCGGACAUGUUCGACGACGCAGACGAUCCCGACGCCGUGCACCGCUUUCGCCGCCUGGAUGAUGUGGUCAAUCUUGCCGCGGCGCAAGGCGGAAGGACAGAGCACCUCCUUCUACUACCCGAGGGAGAGCCGGCGACGUUCGCAGAAGCGGAGCCCCAUGCGGCGUGGCGGGCAGCGAUGACUGAAGAAAUGGCGUGCAUUGAGUCUAACGAGACCUGGUCUCUCUGCGAUCUGCCUGCAGGUCACCGACCCAUCGGCCUGAAGUGGGUUUUUAAGGAGAAAAGGAACGCCGCCGGCGAGGUGAUCAAACACAAGGCCCGUCUGGUAGCGAAGGGGUUUGUGCAGCGCGCCGGGAUCGACUUUGAAGAAAUCUUCGCCCCGGUGGCCCGUCUCGACUCUGUGCGUGUGUUGCUCGCCGCAGCCGCACAUGAAGGAUGGGAGGUGCACCAUCUGGAUGUCAAAUCGGCCUUCCUCAACGGUGAACUUGAGGAGGAGGUGUACGUGGUGCAGCCUCCCGGAUUCGAGCACGCCGGCGCGACGAGCAAGGUGCUCCGACUGCACAAAGCGCUCUAUGGGCUGCGUCAGGCACCGAGGGCAUGGUACGCGAAGCUCGACAGCAGCCUCAAUGCUCUAGGCUUCGAGAGAUGCCCAUCCGAACAUGCAGUGUACACGCGGGCUGGUCAUGGUGGCCGGCUCCUGGUGGGCGUGUAUGUAGACGAUCUGAUUGUCACCGGAGCAUCCACGACAGCGAUCGCUGAGUUCAAGAAGGAGAUGAUGGCACUCUUCAAAAUGAGCGAUCUGGGGCUACUGAGCUACUACCUCGGCAUCGAGGUAGACCAGAGGCCGGGCCAGAUCAUCAUCGCACAAUCCGCGUACGCCGGCAAGCUACUGGAGAAGGCCGGCAUGGCCGACUGUCACCCCGUGGCCACGCCGAUGCAGCAGCGCCUUAAGCUCAGGCGGGAGGGGGCCGGUGAGCCUGUGGACGCCACCUACUACAGGAGCGUGGUGGGGAGCCUCCGCUACCUCACCCACACGCGCCCGGACAUAACCUACGCCGUCGGGUACGUCAGCAGAUUCAUGGAAGCUCCGACGAGCGAACAUUGGGCUGCUGUGAAGCAGCUCCUCAGGUACAUCGCCGGCACACGCCAGCUGGGAUGUCGCUAUGCACGGCAGGAGCACGGCGCAGAGCUCGUCGGCUACAGCGACUCGGACCUCGGGGGAGACUUGGACGACCGCAAGAGCACCAGCGGCACCAUCUUCUUCCUCGGUGGCAGCCCGGUAUCAUGGCAGUCAGCCAAGCAGAAGAUCGUCGCACUUUCUUCGUGCGAAGCAGAGUACGUCGCCGCGGCUGGUGCUGCCUGUCAGGGCAUCUGGCUCAGACGGCUGAUCAGGGAACUGCUUGGGCGUGACGACGGCGCCACCAGGCUCUGCAUCGACAACAAGUCAGCCAUCGCACUGAGCAAGAACCCUGUCUUCCAUGACAGGAGCAAGCACAUUGAGCUCCGCUACCACUUCAUUCGUCAGUGUGUUGAGGACGGCAGCAUCGACGUUCAGUAUGUCAGGACUGGCGAUCAACUUGCAGACUUUCUCACGAAGGCGCUCGGGCGAACUCAGUUCCAGGAGAUGCGUGAUCGUGUGGGGAUCGUCAAGUACAAGCCAACCUAG